This 478-nucleotide ribosomal RNA is filed under the name uncultured bacterium. RNAcentral describes it as "bacterial SSU rRNA". It matches the Rfam family "Bacterial small subunit ribosomal RNA", at positions 28 to 507 of the family's 1533-position model. The record is from RNAcentral.
GAUGAACGCUAGCGGCAGGCCUAACACAUGCAAGUCGAGGGGUAGAGUUCUUCGGGACUUGAGACCGGCGCACGGGUGCGUAACGCGUAUGCAAUCUACCUUAUACAGGGGAAUAGCCCAGAGAAAUUUGGAUUAAUGCCCCAUAGUGUUAUCGAAUCGCAUGGUUUGAUAACUAAAGUUCCAACGGUAUAAGAUGAGCAUGCGUCCCAUUAGUUAGUUGGUAAGGUAACGGCUUACCAAGACAAUGAUGGGUAGGGGUCCUGAGAGGGAGAUCCCCCACACUGGUACUGAGACACGGACCAGACUCCUACGGGAGGCAGCAGUGAGGAAUAUUGGUCAAUGGGCGCAAGCCUGAACCAGCCAUGCCGCGUGCAGGAAGACGGUCCUAUGGAUUGUAAACUGCUUUUAUUGGGAAUAAACCUAUUUACGUGUAGAUAGCUGAAGGUACCAAAUGAAUAAGCACCGGCUAAACUCCGUG